AGGCUGAGUCAGACAAUCAGCUAAUUGGUCCACAGUAGCUAACUCUACCAGCCACAGGUGUACUCAAUACUCUUUUUGUAACGUUAUGGAUGGUGACCUGUAAAAUCAGUCCCGGUUCUUCUACUGUUCUCUAUGUGCUGCUGAACACCACAAACCUCCUACACCAGCUCUUCUAUACCAGGUUGUGCUGCCUAUGUUAUUACCAACCCCAAUGAAGUAACUGCUGCAGAGAGAACGCUGCUAUACGUUGCACUUAAUCUCUCCAAGACGUAAUAUCUAAAGAACAUAGUCUUGCAGAUGGAAGUCAUCAAAAUCCAAUUUGUUAUCCCAGAGAAGGAGAAAAAUCUCAUGCUCCUGUAAUUCUAAGAAUCCCCAAGACUGUACUAUUUCACCGUCAAAAGGAGAAAAGAGGAGGAGAUAGGAAAGCUCCCUUCUGUAUACUAGUCCAUCCUCAUAAAACAUAGCUCACCUCUUCUCCUUG
RNAcentral lists this long non-coding RNA (481 nucleotides) under Anas platyrhynchos platyrhynchos (common mallard). Its description in RNAcentral is "lncRNA (ENSAPLG00000027251.1)". Lineage: Eukaryota; Metazoa; Chordata; Aves; Anseriformes; Anatidae. The record is from RNAcentral.